This 253-nucleotide ribosomal RNA is filed under the name uncultured bacterium. RNAcentral's name for it is "partial 16S ribosomal RNA". It matches the Rfam family "Bacterial small subunit ribosomal RNA", at positions 524 to 776 of the family's 1533-position model. The record is from RNAcentral.
UACGGGGGGGGCAAGCGUUGUUCGGAAUUACUGGGCGUAAAGGGCUCGUAGGCGGCCAACUAAGUCAUACGUGAAAUCUCUCGGCUUAACCGGGGAACUGCGUCUGAUACUGGAUGGCUUGAGUUCGGGAGAGGGAUGCGGAAUUCCAGGUGUAGCGGUGAAAUGCGUAGAUAUCUGGAGGAACACCGGUGGCGAAGGCGGCAUCCUGGACCGAUACUGACGCUGAGGAGCGAAAGCCAGGGGAGCAAACAGG